Callithrix jacchus (white-tufted-ear marmoset) is the source of this 114-nucleotide Y RNA. It matches the Rfam family "Y RNA". From Rfam's summary of the family: Y RNAs are components of the Ro ribonucleoprotein particle (Ro RNP), in association with Ro60 and La proteins. The Y RNAs and Ro60 and La proteins are well conserved, but the function of the Ro RNP is not known. In humans the RNA component can be one of four small RNAs -- hY1, hY3, hY4 and hY5. The record is from Ensembl. Lineage: Eukaryota; Metazoa; Chordata; Mammalia; Primates; Cebidae.
GGCUGGUCCAAAUGUAGUAAGUUAUCUCAAUUAAUAGGUCACACAGUAAGUCACAGAUGUCCUCCUUGUUCUACCCUUUCCCCGCUUUUCACUAUUGCAGUUGACUAGUCUUAA